UGGAUGUUUUAUAUUUUUCUCAAGGUUUUUGUCAAUAUUGUCUGUCAAGGUUGACAGAUUGGAUUGAAAAAUUUUCCGUCACACGCCGCAAAGUUCCUGCAACUGACGAAACAAUGGGUGCUGGCUAUAGAGAGCCCUGGCACACAUGUAGGGAAAACACAGCUGAGUAGUUUGGGACACAUUCUGUUUGUUGUGCAUCAGCUGGAGAAUGGAAUCCUUUCGUUCUCCGCCGUGCAUGGCGUGACAUGUUGCCAGGAUGUUUAUGCAAACUUGGGGGGCAGAACGAUGUGCGUUAUGUCUGGGAUGGCACCAGGAACGUGACACUUGUGUGCCGCGUUCUACUGACUGGACUUCUCAGGAGACUGACUGAAUUAGGACAUGUCUCACUAUACACAGAGGUGUGACAAUGGCAGACAGAAGCUGGUUGAUGUUGUCCAUGUUCACAUUGAAGUCAUUCACGGCUACCAGACAGUCACCUGUGGACAACAAGACAGACAUUACAAGGUAGAAAUAACUGGAGACCAAAGCUGACCAAAACGGACAAGUUACAGUCAAACUUUCAAAUUAAGCUACGCCAGAAGACCACUCAGGGGGCUGAUAAAAUCUGGUCUACGUGGUCACUAGUGUAUACUAUAAUAGACAGGUUUCUUAAUGUUUGCCAAAAGGUUGUCACCUAGGACAGGUGGUCGAUUGUACAGGUAUGACUGUUCAUAUAUAUUGUCACACAUGUAUGUCAACAGAGCAACCUAUAGCCUUACUCGCACUUCAAUGCUGGAAAGAAGCAUUACUGAUUUAGUGAAGCACAAAAGGGUGCAAAUGUACAAAGAAAAAGGUUAAUUUUGGACAAAAUCUUCAACAACAAAACAAUAACAAUAACAAAAACAUGUUAGAGCAUUAAGAUAUGCGAUGCCAGGGCAAUUCUAUCACAACUGGCACAUUUGCAUUUCUCUGGCGCCUGGAAUAAAUUAGAAAGCAGCCUCAGCAAACUUGCUUCCAAUAACUCCAAACACUUUUAUCAACCCUAGAUGUGAUGUUAAUAUAACUUGCAAGGCAGGAAAAUGGGGAAAAAUUGUAGUUGAUUUGUUAGUCACUGAGUUAGACAAUGUUGACAACAAAACACACUCACUGACUGAGGCUGU
Branchiostoma belcheri (Belcher's lancelet) is the source of this 1139-nucleotide long non-coding RNA. RefSeq lists it as uncharacterized. The transcript has 3 exons. NCBI's taxonomy places the organism in Eukaryota, Metazoa, Chordata, Leptocardii, Amphioxiformes, Branchiostomatidae. The record is from RefSeq and is a predicted model, not a curated record.